ACUGUGGGUGCUCUACAGGCUGGGUGAGGGCAGCGUUUGCUGUCGUAUCUUUGCCGAGCCGUGAGCCUCCAGUGUUGGCUCCGUCUCCCUGAGACUCGUUGUCCCGACUAUGGGAUGGGCUGCCUGUCACGGAGAUAUCCGCCCAGGCCGCGCGCUCUCCCGAGCCUCCUCACCCUGUCCUCGUCCCCGCUGCCCCGGCUAGCGGCACCCAGGGCCCUGUAGGCAUUUUACGCAGGAAGGGGUGAGGAUUGAGGCCCAGACUGCCACGGUCAGCCUGAGGUCUGGGCUGGGGUCGGGUCUGCCGACCCGCGGGACCCACAGGGGUAUCCGCCUUUCAGUGUGCAGCUCCGCCCCCAGGGUCCCGAGGCGUUGGCGGUGAUGACAGACCGGCUCAGGUGAGUUGAGGGUGCUCCCUUGGCCCUCGCUAACUUAGACCCCGAUAUCUGGGAUGUUGGUAUCCUGAGACUUUUCCUCCUCGCCGCAUUUGCCUCUCUGCCCUUAAUUACUUGGGCUUUGGGAGUCCCUUCUGGCCCAUAAUUCAGCGGUUGUGCAGGAGAGUUCCCAUUUCUGUCAGUCAGUAGGAUGUGAUAUAGAAAGUGUUAAAGACACAGAGACUAGCAAAUCCUUGGCAGUGAGGAUGAGCUGGGAAUGUUCAGAGAACCACAACCCCACUUAGGUCUUUUGAGAACAGUGAGCAGGGGCAGGAGUCAGGCGGAGAAUGGAUCUAGACCUCUGUUCUGAGGAUGCUGGGCACCAUGGGAGAUCUAGAGCAGAGGAGGAAGAUGAUCUGACUCAGGUGUUGGGAGGCUGUCUCUGGCUAGAGGGGAGAACAGACUGUACUUGAAGAAGGCCCAUGAAGAGGCUGCUGGUGACAGGUGGCUGCACCAGGGUGGUGGCAAUGAAGAUGGCAGAUAUGCUUGUACUCUGGAUCUGUUAUUUGAGUAGGACCAGCCCAACUGCCUGAUGUGAGGCAGUGAAAGACACUGAGCUAUCAAGGGUUAGCCUAGGUGUUUGGACUCAGUGGUUUGAUGGAUGGAAGAUAUAUCAACAGAUGUGGAAGUUGAUGUCUAGAGCAGUUUCCAGGGACAAGAUCUAGAGUGUGGUUUUGGAGAUUUUAAGCAUGAUAUAUCCAAGUACUCUUGAAUGGGGCCGCUGUGUAGGCUCCCGGAUGCGCAACUCUGGAAUUCUGCAGGAUCAGGGUUGGGAACAUCCAAAGGGUGGGGCUAGAGAGUGGAACUAGGAACAAUGUGGGAUGGGUGAAGGAUGGUAAAGAAUACCCCUACAGGUUGGAGAAGGGGAGGCUGAGAACCAAGGACCAGAUGUCCUGACUAUGCAGUUGGAAGGUGAUGGUAGGUGUCAUUAAGUCUCUGUGAAGGCUGGGCCAAUGUUAGCAGGGGAAUAAAGAGGGGGAGUGGCAGGGGGCCAAGGCACCUGAGAGACAAGUGGACCUGGGGUGGAGCCUGUGGCAUGACAGUGAUGGAUGUUGGUGGUAAGUGGGCCCAGGAUUGGGCUGAUUCUGUGGUAUCUCUAGGCUUUUAUGUCUGCCCCCUUUGGGGCCUGAGGCUUUUCAUUCAGAGUUGCAGAGGCACUCAGUGGCAGAUGGGGGUCACCUGAGAGACAGGGUCCCAGGCCCGGUGGGCUGGACUCUGAAUGUGCCUUAGGAGGGGAGAGGAGGGUCACGGCAAGUGAAAGGACAGCUUGUGCAAAGGCAGAGUUGAAGGAAGUCCGGGAUCUCAGAGAUCCAGUUGUACUUCUGCGUGGCUGAAUAUUGAAGCUAGGAGCAGGGCCUGGUGGGGAGUCUUUAAUGCAGGGGUGGGGGAUUCCUGUGGCAGUGGGCCAUUGGAGGUGCAGGCGCAGACAGGCCUGAGGCAGGAUAGGAUUGUGGUUGCUAUGCCACAUACUCUCAGGACACCACAUGGAGAGUGGCCUGUGGGGAGGCCAGGGAGUUGCCAAUGGGGUGAGCUGGUGAGGUUGUGCUAGGGGUGUGGAAUUAUGAGCAUGCCAAGUAUGUUAUGUUCCUGAUAGGGGGGAGGGCAGACUGAAGGGCCUUGGGAGCAAGUAUCUCGACCUAAGGGAGAAUGGCGUGUGUAGGUUUGGUUGCAUCUGAGAGGUGUGAUCUGAAGGACACAGAGGGAAUGGGCUGGGAGGAGAAAGGGUGAGGCCUGUGUGGCUGGACCAGAACAUAGAUGGCAUCCAUCCUGUUGUUGCUGUGGGCUGGAUACAGAGUCCAAUAGUAACAUCAUGAGAACAGCAUCAAUGGUGUUGUGACCUUGGUAUUCUCUCUGAGGUAGAGUUCUGGGGAAAGGGGGAGCAUCAGGAUGUGUUUGGGAGUGGUGGUUUGGGCCUCUGGGGAAAUAGGAUGUCAGUGAGAGAUAUAUUACCCUUCCAUGUCAAAGAACUGGCUGGGUGUGUCCCUUUGUCCAUAUUUUGGUUGUUUUUUCUGCCUAGUCAUCAACCCCUAGGAUCAGUUGCACCCACCACUGCAGGGUAUGCUGACAUGUGAGGAUGUGGCCCUGUAUUUCUCCCAGAAGAAGUGGAGGCUCCUUAAUGUAACCCCAUGUAAUCACCAUGAUGUGAUGUUGAACUUUGAGCUCGUCGGCUCACCGGACUCGGCACCACAUCCUCUAGGAUGAGUGCAUCUGAAUCCACUGCACGACAUCCUGGAGCCGGGUCCUUCUCCUGCUGGCCUCGCAUCUUGAUGUGCCCAGGACCUUUCUCCCUAACAUCCUCAACAACGCGCUCACCCUCCUCCACAAGGCCCCCUACCUGACUAUGGCCUUACACGGGGCAGGCUAUCAGCCUACUGUCCCCUGAGCAUGUUCCAGACCCAUCCCCGGUACCUCAGACCUGCCUGAGUCCAGUGGCCCAGGCACCACCAGACUCAACACUUGUAAAGUCCAACUGCGGAUCUUCUCCAACACUUCCUCCUCCUGCCAAGGCUCCCUGGCCGCUGGUCCCCAGCUCCUCACUGAACUCAGGCUGGAGAGGCUUUUCUGAGCUCCGUCUCCUCCUCCGUGAAGCAGACACCGCGUCCGGGGCGAUGACUCCUGGGCGGCGGCGGGCACGGAUGGGCUUUGAUGGAGGUGAGACCCGAAGGUGAUGCCUCUUUACCGCCAAAAACACUUGCCGAGCUUAAGCCGCGUACAGAGCGCGCAGCCUCCUCUCAGGCCCUCUAUAUUCCAGUUUCCACGGUUCUGAGGAGCCUCCCAAAUUCCCGCCUCCGCGCAGUUACGCAGUCCGUCUGCCGGACGUGGUUCCGAAGGAGGGCGACGCCGGAAGUCCCACCUCCACGAAACGCGGAAAAGCUCCUCUCUGGGGCCCUCAUUGGCUACGUCGGUACGAACGCACAGCAGCGCCCUCCCCUGUCGCCUUGGCAACGAGCAAGCGGCACCGCGAGGGAAGCUGGGAAAUGAGGCCCUAAAGUGACGCUGGCGCUAAGUUAAUGAAGGCGUCUGGAGGCGGCCGGACUUCCGGCGUUGCUCUAGCUGUGCUCUUCUUGCAGCUGUGGGUGGAGACCAGCACUUGGAGAGCCGCGUUGCCGAGAAGAGGGUUGGGGACCCUCGUGGCACCUAUGCGCGCGCCGUGACCCUCGGAAAUAACCCCAUUUUUCUAAGACUCGGUGUCGCCCACUGCGGAACGGGUGCAGGAGGGCCAGGGCCUCCCGCGAGCGGUUCCCUGGUCUUUGAGCACAUUUUACACGGAGGAGACCUAGCUUCGAAGGUUCCGCGGUCGGCCGGAGGUUCCUGCGCCCAAGGCGGGGUGGUAGGUACGGAUUUGAGCUGAGUAGACCGGAAUUCGGCGCCUAUCGCAGCCAAGCUCCGUCCACAGCUUCCGAUGGCCGAGGAGGCGCUGGGGCUGGUGACCUUUGAGGAUGUGGCUGUGUAUUUCUCCCGGGAGGAGUGGGGGCUCCUUAAUCUGACUCAGAGGAGCCUUUACCGUGAUGUGAUGCUAGAGAACUUUGCACUUAUUGGCUCGCUGGGAUUUGCAUCUUCAAGGUGCCAUGUGGUUGCCCAGCUGGAGAGUGAAGAAGAGUUCUGGGUUCCCAGCAUGGUGGACCUGACUCUGGUCAGCAGAGUUGAGGCCAGGAGGGGUCCUGGUCUUGGUUGUCCGUGUAGCCUGAAGGAUGGGGAAACCCCUACAGAGCAGAUGAAGAGUUACAGAGUCUACCUGUCAGAGAAGUCCUCUCUGCUUGGGGAGUCUGGGAAGGACAUGCCUACCACCUUAGGUCUUCUCCGGCACCAGGCCACCCACAGCAAGGGGAAGCCACACAGGAGCACCGAGCAUGGAGAAGCCUUCCAACCCAGCUCCAGUAGCCAACAGCAGCAGGCAGUCCACGCCACACAGAAGGCCUUCAAGUGCAGUGACUGCGGGAAAGCCUUCCCAAAGGCCUUUGCGCUCCUUGACCACCUGGUAACCCACCCCAAAGAGAGACCCUUUAGAUGUCCAAAAGGUGGAAAUGCCCCCACGGAGAAAUCCACCCAUGUUAAUUACCAAAAAAUUCACACUGGAGAAACAUCCCAUGUGUGUACUGAGUGCGGAAAGGCCUUUAGUUAUCCCUCUAAACUGAGGAAGCACCAGAAGGUUCACACGGGCAUAAAACCUUUCAAGUGUGAUGAAUGUGGCAAAACCUUCAACCGCAAAGAUGCACUCGUUCUGCACCAGAGAAUUCACACUGGAGAAAGGCCUUAUGAGUGCAGCGAAUGUGGGAAAGCCUUCAGCGUUCUGUCUACUCUCAUUCGGCACCGGAAAGUUCACAUUGGAGAAAGGCCCUAUGAGUGCAGGGAAUGUGGGAAGUUCUUUAAAUACAACCAUAGCUUCAUUCUUCAUCAGAGAGUUCACACUGGAGAAAGGCCUUAUGAGUGCAAGCAAUGUGGGAAAACUUAUGUGACCCGCUCUGGCCUGUAUCAGCACUGGAAAGUUCACACUGGAGAACGGCCCUAUGAGUGCAGCCUGUGUGGGAAGACCUUCACCACCAGGUCCUACCGCAAUCGGCACCAGCAGUUCCACACUGAAGAGAGGUCCUAUGAGUGUACAGAAUGUGGGAAAGCCUUCAAACAUAGUUCUACCCUUCUUCAGCACAAGAAAGUCCACACUGGAGAAAGGCCAUAAGAAGACAGGGGAUGUUGGAAAGCCUGUAGCUAGGGCUGGCACCUUGUUCAACAUGAAAAACCUCACUCCAGAAAGGAGAGGAGAGUAGCCAUUUGAAAGCUAAACCUGGCACACCCCAACACAUGCGCUGGGGUGGCAGGUGUGUGGGAAGUUUUCAGGAGCUAGGUUGCACUUGGACCUGCCUAGGCUGUUGGCAGUGUUAAGUUGCUGCCAGUUUCCAUGAUACAAACCAUCUCAGCUCCACCACCUGGCAGGUGCCCAAGGUGUGCAUCAGGCACCGCAAUGUGCUCUGGAACAGCAAGACCUCCAUGGUCGCCACUCUUUAAAGGAGAGAAUCAUGAGUGGUGGAGUCCGUGAUGGGCCUCAUUUGCUCCCUCCAACUGGUUCAGGUAUGCCUGUGACCAAGCUCUGGUCAAGAGUAGCUGAGCUGUGUCUACUGGGGGCUUCCAGAGAAGGUUAAUCCUUUCCAUGGACAUCGUUUACACUACGCAUGGUACCUGUCAUGGAUUUAUCCAACCCUGGAACUGACUCACACUUCCCUGGAAUGUAUGUUUGCACUGGGCGGACCUGGAGUCUGAGACUUAGAAGAGCAGCUGUAGUGUAAAGUCACCCUUCAUGGAUGCCACCACAUUCAGAGGUUCAUCCCCAUCUCUUCUCCAUGCAGCAAAGUAAAAUUCCCAAAGGAAUUUCACAUCAGGUCCACCAGGACAUCCAACUCUGCUUUUAGGAAAAGUCACUGCGAAGAGGAGGCAGCAACAAUGCCUUCUCAUCCACCAAGCACUAUGGAUGGAUACUGCAUGCUGAAGCCUCUCAUGUCAGAAAACUCCAGGUCUUUCUCCCCCAGGUCUCACGGAAGGACACGGGAACGUAUAUAGCCCACAUACAUGUUUUGUCAAACUGCUUUUGUACCAAAAUGUUUUUUCAAAUGGCUUCUAACAUAAAACCAAAAGCCACAUAAAAAUCUGCA
Felis catus (domestic cat) is the source of this 6076-nucleotide RNA transcript. It is a transcript of the gene named zinc finger protein 584, with no coding region annotated. NCBI's taxonomy places the organism in Eukaryota, Metazoa, Chordata, Mammalia, Carnivora, Felidae. The transcript has 8 exons. The record is from RefSeq and is a predicted model, not a curated record.